Molecule: long non-coding RNA, 396 nt
Filed under: Elaeis guineensis (African oil palm)
Lineage: Eukaryota; Viridiplantae; Streptophyta; Magnoliopsida; Arecales; Arecaceae
Description: long non-coding RNA (EGUI_LNC023266)
Source: RNAcentral
GGCGUCGGACCCCAUAGUGCAGCCGAUCAAAAGAGAGAAGAAGGUCCGCCCGACCGAUGCAUCCUCGAUCGGUCGGCAGCCAUCGAUCGGUCGGCGGCCGUCGGUCAGUCGGCAGAGUCGAAUGCCGAUCAUGUAAGCCCGACGAUGAGUCGACGUGAGUGGGGUCGGUCGGUAUCCCCCAACAGCCAGCUUGAGCUAGGUGCAUGUAACAGAAUUUGUCGUGGUGCCAUGCCACCAGAAUUUGUAUGACGCGUGAAUGAUUUUUGCACGCGUUAGGGCCUGGUGUGCUUCAUCUCGUGCCGUAACAGGAUGCGUCCGAUGAACAAUGCGCGCCCCUUCCACAUCCGAACAUGGCACGUGUGACAGUCAGGUCAUAUGUCAUAUUCGCGUGCGGGU